Molecule: ribosomal RNA, 646 nt
Filed under: uncultured bacterium
Lineage: Bacteria
Description: bacterial SSU rRNA
Rfam family: Bacterial small subunit ribosomal RNA
Source: RNAcentral
AAGCAUUAAGUGAUNNANCUGGGGAGUACGGCCGCAAGGCUGAAACUCAAAGGAAUUGACGGGGGCCCGCACAAGCGGAGGAACAUGUGGUUUAAUUCGAUGAUACGCGAGGAACCUUACCUGGGCUUAAAUGUAGAGUGCAUGAAGUGGAAACAUUUCUUUCCUUCGGGACUCUUUGCAAGGUGCUGCAUGGUUGUCGUCAGCUCGUGCCGUGAGGUGUCGGGUUAAGUCCCAUAACGAGCGCAACCCUUAUCGUUAGUUGCCAGCGGGUAAUGCCGGGAACUCUAACGAAACUGCCGGUGUAAACCGUGAGGAAGGUGGGGAUGACGUCAAAUCAGCACGGCCCUUAUGUCCAGGGCUACACACGUGUUACAAUGGCCGGUACAGAGGGCAGCUACCUGGAGACAGGAUGCGAAUCUCCAAAGCCGGUCUCAGUUCGGACCGGAGUCUGCAACUCGACUCCGUGAAGCUGGAUUCGCUAGUAAUCGCGCAUCAGCCAUGGCGCGGUGAAUACGUUCCCGGGCCUUGUACACACCGCCCGUCAAGCCAUGGAAGUUGGGGGUACCUGAAGUCCGUAACCGUAAGGAGCGGCCUAAGGUAAAACUAGUGACUGGGGCUAAGUCGUAACAAGGUAGCCGAAUCGAAU